GGGGCCGUAAUGGUUUCGACGUGUUGGCGAACACGCAUCCUAUGAUGCAGGCCGAGAGGGAGUCCACUCUCGUAAAUCCAGGCUCAAAAAAACGUAACUGCGAACAACAUUGUUCCUUUUGCUCGUAAAGCGGCUGUUGUGGCUGCCUAAGAGUCCCUAGUUAGUACUAGAUCGACUUCGAGACGUUCUCGGUGACACCGUUAAUCCCCGAACGUACCCCCCCAACGGUUGCCCUAGCGGAGUUUGUGCGGUUGUCCGUUAGUUAAGCCUUAACCGUAAGCCCCUGGCCAGUUUGGGACAAAAUUGGUUCCCGGUGUUUGGAUCAAGACACCUACGCCUGUGAAUGAGUGGGACGUUAAUACCCAGUGCGGACAGCGGUUCGAUUCCGCUCGGCUCCAUUU
Molecule: transfer-messenger RNA, 401 nt
Filed under: Gloeomargarita lithophora
Lineage: Bacteria; Bacillati; Cyanobacteriota; Cyanophyceae; Gloeomargaritales; Gloeomargaritaceae
Also listed under: 1 other name
Description: Standard tmRNA
Rfam family: transfer-messenger RNA
About the family: Bacterial tmRNA, also known as 10Sa RNA or SsrA, is named for its dual tRNA and mRNA-like properties.
Source: RNAcentral